CAGCGACGCCGCGUGAGGGAUGACGGCCUUCGGGUUGUAAACCUCUUUCAGCAGGGAAGAAGCGCAAGUGACGGUACCUGCAGAAGAAGCGCCGGCUAACUACGUGCCAGCAGCCGCGGUAAUACGUAGGGCGCAAGCGUUGUCCGGAAUUAUUGGGCGUAAAGAGCUCGUAGGCGGUUUGUCGCGUCUGCUGUGAAAACCUAAGGCUCAACCUUGGGCUUGCAGUGGGUACGGGCAGACUAGAGUGCGGUAGGGGUGACUGGAAUUCCUGGUGUAGCGGUGGAAUGCGCAGAUAUCAGGAGGAACACCGAUGGCGAAGGCAGGUCACUGGGCCGCAACUGACGCUGAGGAGCGAAAGCAUGGGGAGCGAACAGGAUUAGAUACCCUGGUAGUCCAUGCCGUAAACGUUGGGCACUAGGUGUGGGGCUCAUUCCACGAGUUCCGUGCCGCAGCAAACGCAUUAAGUGCCCCGCCUGGGGAGUACGGCCGCAAGGCUA
RNAcentral lists this ribosomal RNA (497 nucleotides) under uncultured Actinomycetes bacterium. RNAcentral describes it as "bacterial SSU rRNA". It matches the Rfam family "Bacterial small subunit ribosomal RNA", at positions 389 to 896 of the family's 1533-position model. Lineage: Bacteria; Bacillati; Actinomycetota; Actinomycetes. The record is from RNAcentral.